GGAGAACAAGUAAAGCGAAAGAUAAGAAAAAUUAUCCCCGCAGUAAUGUGAUUUAAUAAAUGAUUGACAUCUAAUUUCAUGUAUUUUUACAUUGGUUCCAAUGGUUAGAUGUAAGAUAUUUUUUUUAUUUUUUAAUAUUUAAUUAUCGUAAAAUAUUUACAAUUUUUUAUUUUUAUUUUUAAACCUAACAAAAAAUAAUUUACUUACUAAUUUUCGUCCUUGUACUCACUUAAAAUUUGAGGGGUUGGUCUCUAUUCGUUGCCUUUAAAAUCCCACAUCCUCUCCUCUCUCCCUCUAAAAAUGACAUAAAUAUUGCCCUUGUAUUCAAUUACAAUCUCUACAACUGUCUAGAGAUCUGUUCACAUAAACUGAAUCUUGCGACCCAAACUUAAACAGGGAAUUUAGCUGGGCAUGAUAGCCGGAACUGCUCUGCAUACGUUGUUCCUUCUGUUCAUAAUUCACAAAACCAUCUGGAACAAGGAGUUAGAGGAAGCUGUAACUGAAUCUUCUCAGAAAAAUAGUUCUCUUUUUUGCAUCUAAAAGUGGAACAUCUUUGUAUUCAGGCUCACUAGUAAAGGGUGGGAAGGGGCCAAAGGGCAAGAAUCCCAAACAGUUGAGGCAAAAGGAAAGCAAUUAUAGAGAGCGACAGAAGCAUUUCUUAUCAGUUACUCUCUGCUGUACAUUUCAUUAUGUAUUAAUUGAUGUCAUGAUAGUUGUGAACAGAGACUUGAGAUAUGAAUAUAAUCGAUAUUGAGAUGUUUGGUUUGUCGUUUGA
Cornus florida is the source of this 775-nucleotide long non-coding RNA. RefSeq lists it as uncharacterized. Lineage: Eukaryota; Viridiplantae; Streptophyta; Magnoliopsida; Cornales; Cornaceae. The record is from RefSeq and is a predicted model, not a curated record. The transcript has 3 exons.